This is a long non-coding RNA of Syngnathus acus (greater pipefish), 519 nucleotides long. RefSeq lists it as uncharacterized. The record is from RefSeq and is a predicted model, not a curated record. Lineage: Eukaryota; Metazoa; Chordata; Actinopteri; Syngnathiformes; Syngnathidae. The transcript has 2 exons.
UACAAAUACAUUUUGUUUUCAGCCAACGUUUGAGUUUCCAAGCAUUUAUAGUUUAAGACAAUCCCUAAGUACCUAAUGAUUUCAACAAAAGGGUGGUUGUUGUUAUGUUAACUUGUAUGCUAGAUCCUGUCAUCAUAAUUUACAAUAAAAAAAAUCAUCAGAAAAUUGUUAAUCUACGAUUGCCGCUGUAGUCUUGGUCAAUGACCGACCGAUGAGGCGUAAUUGAUUGUGAUAAUUCGUUGUAGUCCUGCAGUCCCACCUUGCGGCGUUUCCUUGUAUGUUUGAAUCGCACGUUUAUUCUUCUGCUGCUGUUUCUUUUUUUUUUUUUUUUUUAUGUUUUAACGUAUUAGGGCUGAAGGGUUUGAAGGGGAAAAAAAACAUGUAUUGCUAUUUUUCUGACGGAUAUAGACAUUUUGAUUCGAUUUGCGAUGUUGUUGAAAUCAAUCUUAAGCUUUCACUACUGACAAUGUGCGUUAAUACAGACGUAAAAGGACAUUAUACCAUUAGAAAUAUUAAAAU